RNA transcript from Beta vulgaris subsp. vulgaris (sugar beet), 994 nucleotides. RefSeq lists it as uncharacterized. The record is from RefSeq and is a predicted model, not a curated record. Lineage: Eukaryota; Viridiplantae; Streptophyta; Magnoliopsida; Caryophyllales; Amaranthaceae. The transcript has 5 exons.
AGCUUGAAGAAUCCGCAAUUGUGGGUGAUACUACAUUUUUUUACUCUCUCACAAGACAACAAUUUUUGAAGGCUACCAAAUACCGAGACAUAAAUGGCCGCUCUCUCCUCCACUUGGCAGUUGUCAACGGUCAAACUGAGGUUAGGUGGUGAAAAUUCUAGUUGAGAAUGAAUUUGCGGAUUAUUUGAUCGAUGACCGGUGCAAAUUUGGUCAGACUCCUAUUCAUUUGGCAUCCAGAUGUGGCAAUGUUGAUAUUAUUCGUUUACUAGUCGAUAAUGGAACGAUAUCACCAUUUGUUCAAGAAGAUACCGACUCAUUCCAUAGUAGAAAUAAUGGAAAUCCUUGAUAACACGGAUAUGAUUUGAAGCUGGCUGUCAACCCACCAGUUGUAGUUCUGCAACAUUUGUAUACAAACCAUGGUGGAUUGGUGGUUUCACAAGAAGCAAAUGCAUUUCAGCCGGAAUUUGGUCAUUAUAAACUUGAAUGGAAAAGAAGUGCUCUAGCACCACCUAUAGAGAGGUAUUAUGGGGCUUGAAUAUGCCUCGCUGGGAUGAGAUGAGAGUGGAAUAUUAGAGAGAACAGUUCGUAUAAUAGCAAUGAGCCAAGACUUGCGAUUGACAUUUUUAAAGCACUCCAAAGUAAAUUGAGGAUGUGUCGGCUUUUUUCUUUCCAUAUAUCCAUUGCUUUUGAUGAGCUGAUGUCAACAUAGAAGAUAUUAAUGAUGAAACUGCUCUUCACUGUGCUGCUUUGAAGGGAUGGGUGCAUAUUGCUAAAUUUUUGGUUUAUCAUAGUGCAAACGUCAAUGCUAGGGACAAGGUUCGUAACCUACUUUAAGAACCUGCACAUGCUAUGAACAUGGAAACACGCCAUUGCAUCAUGCAGCUUGUAUAGGAAACUUAGAGCUGUGCGAAUUGCUCCUUCGAUUUGGGGCUGUGAUCCAUGCCCGUAACACAAUUGGUCAAUUUCCUUUGGUGAUAGCUGCCCAAUAUGGACA